AUGUGGUACCUUCGGAAGGGAGUGGUGCUAACCAAAGAUAACCUCCCUCGUUGCAACUGGCAUGGAAGCAAGAAGUGCGGCUUUUGUACUCAUGACGAGACAAUCAGACAUCUCUUUUUCCAGUGCAAGUUUGCAUGUUCUACAUGGUCAAUCAUCCAAAUAGCGUCUAAUCUUUGUCCGCCCAUAGGUGUUGCCAAUAUUUUUGGUCACUGGCUGGAUGGUAUUCCUUAUAGAUUCAAAACGCUAAUAAGGGUGGGAGCGUAUGCCUUAUUAUGA
This 276-nucleotide ribosomal RNA is filed under the name Triticum aestivum (bread wheat). RNAcentral describes it as "partial small subunit ribosomal RNA". The record is from RNAcentral. Lineage: Eukaryota; Viridiplantae; Streptophyta; Magnoliopsida; Poales; Poaceae.